This is a long non-coding RNA of Suricata suricatta (meerkat), 1401 nucleotides long. RefSeq lists it as uncharacterized. The transcript has 3 exons. Lineage: Eukaryota; Metazoa; Chordata; Mammalia; Carnivora; Herpestidae. The record is from RefSeq and is a predicted model, not a curated record.
CGCUUUCCGCUGUGGAGUUUGGGGCCAAGGUCUUGGACGCGGUCUGUCUGAAGCACUUCACAGGAAGUUUCCCAUGUUGAGGUGGUUGUCCAAGCCCAGGUGUCCUGGUCCCUCACUCUAACCCCCUGCUGUAGGCAUCAGUAACAUGGUCGCCAACCUGCCAAGCCCGCACCCUCUGCAUCAGCCCAGAGAAGCUGAACUUCAUCGUCUCUGACAAAGUAGCCAACGGAGAUGUGAGCAUGUGGUGUGAGCUGGACGAGACAUCAUGAGUAACAAGAUUGUCCACUUUGAUUGUUCCAUGAAGAUGUCUCCCUGUAGCACUUCAUCCCGGCCUCCUCGUAGCCACAGGCCGCCCGCUCUCAUCCCGGGUGAUGUGCCCACCCCGCUGGAGCUCACGGCACACGGUUGGAUGAUCGUGCUGUUUCAUACUCCUUUGCCCUUGUGUCUGUUUCGUUGUUGAGACGUGGGGAAGAAGAGGAAGAAAUUCUCUAUGCGGACUUUGGUUCGGCCGAAGUUUCUGGAAGCUGCCUGUCCCUGGCUCUUCUCCCAGAGCCAGAUGACGGCCCAGGAUGACCCACCUGCUGCCUCGGUUCCGCAGAGCAUCUCAGGGUCUGUCAGGGGCAUCUGGCUGCAGCGCGUGGAGCCCUCGCUGCCAGUCCUCCUGUGUUCACGGGGCCAGCGUCCCUACCAGGUCAUGAUCUUCAACCCUCCGUCUCCCACGUGCAGGGCUGUGACGGCCUGGAAAGCACAGCGUGUGUGUAGCGGAGGGACAGGGACCUCCGGUAGCCUGUGUUCAGCGCUGAGACCACGUCUGUUUGCACAUGUGAGCUGGCUCAGGCCUGUCCAUCUGCUGUCUCAUCCGCCGGGGCCGCCCUUCACGUCCCACCGUGGCAGCCUCUCGCCUGCCCUGUGAACGGGAGCAUCGUGGACGGUGUCUUAACUCACGUGACAAAGCCGAGAAGGGGGGUGGAAGAAGUGGGAAAUAUGCAAAAUGGAAAUUUUCCUUCAUGACCUUUUCUGAGUACUCGGUACGAGCUGGGUACCUGAGCGCUUCUUCUGAUGCUAGUCUGUGUGCCUUCUGAUGGCACGUGACACUUGUGCACGUCCCCCCAUGUGAGUCCAUCGUUGACCUUGAAGCCUCUCUCCUCUCCUCGGUGUGUGGCCACGUUAAUUCCAGCUCCGGCAAUAAAGCAUAGAAAUCCUCGAUGGGCCAGUGCCUGAAAACAGUUCACAAAAGCAGUUUGGUUCCGUUUUUUUUUGUGUUUUGGGGUUUUUUUUUGUUUGUUUUGGUUAAACAAAAUGUAUUAGUGAGUCACCAAUCUGGAAAAUUGGUUACUUCUCAUUAUUUAAUUGAUUUCUAACGUGUAAUGUAAAUAAAAUGCUGUUUGUUAGCAUAAGUUA